Molecule: transfer RNA, 92 nt
Filed under: Caudoviricetes sp.
Lineage: Duplodnaviria; Heunggongvirae; Uroviricota; Caudoviricetes
Description: tRNA-Gln
Rfam family: tRNA
About the family: Transfer RNA (tRNA) molecules are approximately 80 nucleotides in length. Their secondary structure includes four short double-helical elements and three loops (D, anti-codon, and T loops).
Source: RNAcentral
UGGGCUAUCGCCAAGCGGUAAGGCACAGAGCUUUGACCUCUGCACAAGCCAUCAGAAAUGGUGGUUCAUGGGUUCGAAUCCCAUUAGCCCAG